This 85-nucleotide transfer RNA is filed under the name Felis catus (domestic cat). It matches the Rfam family "tRNA". Rfam says of the family: Transfer RNA (tRNA) molecules are approximately 80 nucleotides in length. Their secondary structure includes four short double-helical elements and three loops (D, anti-codon, and T loops). RNAcentral also lists the same sequence under 1 other name. Lineage: Eukaryota; Metazoa; Chordata; Mammalia; Carnivora; Felidae. The record is from Rfam by way of RNAcentral.
GCCUGGAUGGCUCAGUCGGUUGAGCGUCUGACUUCGGCUCAGGUCAUGGUCUCACAGUCCGUGGGUUCGAGCCCCGCGUCGGGCU